AGGGCACCACCAGGAGUGGAGCCUGCGGCUUAAUUUGACUCAACACGGGAAAUCUCACCAGGCCCGGACACCGGAAGGAUUGACAGAUUGAGAGCUCUUUCUUGAUUCGGUGGGUGGUGGUGCAUGGCCGUUCUUAGUUGGUGGAGCGAUUUGUCUGGUUAAUUCCGAUAACGAACGAGACUCUGGCCUACUAACUAGAUGGAGGAUCCCUUCGUGGGUUCUUCACUGCUUCUUAGAGGGACGGGCGGCGUUUAGCCGCACGAGAUUGAGCAAUAACAGGUCUGUGAUGCCCUUAGAUGUUCUGGGCUGCACGCGCGCUACACUGAAGGAAUCAGUGUGUCCUCCCCGCUCUGAAAAGAGUGGGUAACCCGUUGAAACUCCUUCGUGAUGGGGAUUGGAGAUUGUAAUUAUUCUCCAUGAACGAGGAAUUCCCAGUAGGCGCGAGUCAUCAGCUUGCGUCGAUUACGUCCCUGCCCUUUGUACACACCGCCCGUCGCUACUACCGAUCGAGUGAUUUAG
This 519-nucleotide ribosomal RNA is filed under the name uncultured eukaryote. RNAcentral's name for it is "SSU rRNA". It matches the Rfam family "Eukaryotic small subunit ribosomal RNA", at positions 1161 to 1701 of the family's 1831-position model. The record is from RNAcentral.